AAGUUUUCAACUUCUUUGCCUUUGGUUUGAAUGUCCUCCCGUAGCUCAGAGUAAUUUGAUCGUCUGAAGUCUUCUUCUCUCAGCUCGUCAAAAUCAUUCUCCAUCCAGCUUUGUUCCGUUGCUGGUGAGGAACUGCGUUCCUUUGGAGGAGGAGAGGCGCUCUGCGUUUUAGAGUUUCCAGUUUUUCUGUUCUGUUUUUUCCCCAUCUUUGUGGUUUUAUCUACUUUUGGUCUUUGAUGAUGUUGAUGUACAGAUGGGUUUUCG
Molecule: long non-coding RNA, 264 nt
Filed under: Homo sapiens (human)
Lineage: Eukaryota; Metazoa; Chordata; Mammalia; Primates; Hominidae
Description: LHRI_LNC1667.1
Source: RNAcentral